Molecule: ribosomal RNA, 390 nt
Filed under: uncultured bacterium
Lineage: Bacteria
Description: bacterial SSU rRNA
Rfam family: Bacterial small subunit ribosomal RNA
Source: RNAcentral
AUUGAACGCUGGCGGCAUGCCUUACACAUGCAAGUCGAACGGCAACACGGGGCAACCUGGUGGCGAGUGGCGAACGGGUGAGUAAUGCAUCGGAACGUGCCAUUGAGUGGGGGAUAACGUAGCGAAAGUUGCGCUAAUACCGCAUAUUCUGUGAGCAGGAAAGCAGGGGGACCGCAAGGCCUUGCGCUCUUUGAGCGGCCGAUGUCAGAUUAGCUAGUUGGUGAGGUGACGGCUUACCAAGGCGACGAUCUGUAGCGGGUCUGAGAGGAUGAUCCGCCACACUGGAACUGAGACACGGUCCAGACUCCUACGGGAGGCAGCAGUGGGGAAUUUUGGACAAUGGGCGCAAGCCUGAUCCAGCCAUGCCGCGUGAGUGAAGAAGGCCUUCGG